CUACGUAGGGGGCGAGCGUUGUCCGGAAUGAUUGGGCGUAAAGGGCGCGUAGGCGGCGCGGUAAGUCUGGAGUGAAAGUCCUGUUUUUAAGAUGGGAAUUGCUUUGGAUACUGUCGGGCUUGAGUGCAGGAGAGGUAAGUGUAAUUCCCCGUGUAGAGGUGAAAUGCGUAGAGAUUGGGAGGAACACCAGUGGCGAAGGCGACUUACUGGACUGUAACGGACGCUGAGGCGCGAAAGGGUGGAGAGCAAACAGGAUUAGAUACCCUGGUAGUCCACACUGUAAACGAUGAAUGCUAGGUGUAGGGGGUAUCGACCCCUUCUGUGCCGCAGUCAACACAAUAAGCAUUCCGCCUGGGGAGUACGGCCGCAAGGUUGAAACUCAAAUGAAUUGACGGGG
This 397-nucleotide ribosomal RNA is filed under the name uncultured bacterium. RNAcentral's name for it is "partial 16S ribosomal RNA". It matches the Rfam family "Bacterial small subunit ribosomal RNA", at positions 523 to 918 of the family's 1533-position model. The record is from RNAcentral.